Molecule: non-coding RNA, 942 nt
Organism: Pogona vitticeps (central bearded dragon)
Lineage: Eukaryota; Metazoa; Chordata; Lepidosauria; Squamata; Agamidae
Source: RefSeq, a predicted model, not a curated record
CAUUCACAAGAUGAACAGAAGAGAGACCAACAGAAACUUUUCGCCUUUCCAAGUGUGCUGAUUUCAUAUGGGAACUGACAGAUCAAACUGCCUAUCCUGUUAAUUGUUGAUGUUAUCCUCUGUGAGGUUCUCAAGGUUAUGCUGAGAGAGUACCACCCAUCAAAUGUCAUGGCUGUGCGAGAACUUGGAUCUGGAUCACCUAAUUCCUGCUGGGUAGCUCAGUGGUGUAAGAAUCUGGCAAUGGAAUCAGAGCUAGAGCAAAACUAGAAGAACUAUCGUCUGAAGGCAGCAGGGGGAACGAAGCUCAACGUACUCUGCUUCAAAGACAGAGUGAUUACACUGGAGUCAUGUUAGUUGAUUGGAUUUCUAUUUCAAGCCUCAGCUCCCCAUGGAUAGACACCAGACCAUAAUGAAAAGCAUAGAGUCUUCUUCCAAAGCUGAUCAGACAUUCAGAUCAAAAAGUGUAAUCAAACUGGUGUGGGGGGGAAAACCCAGUGCUUUUACAUACUAGCUUCAUCCACCCCUAUUAGUCUGAAGAACCAGACCUCUCUUGCUGGAGUAAAAGUUUCUCCUGUGCCAUCAGGAUGCAAAUUGUUGUUUCUUUCUUUCUCUCUCUCUCUCAUAAGAAUUUUAAUGCAUUUAUCCCUGAUUCAGAAGCUUUUAGGAUGUUCCAUUGGAGAUUUUAAAAAGACUUUCUUUCAUGCAAAUAGAAUCCCCACCUGCCCACAUAUAUUUUUAAAUGCUCGGGGAAAGGAGCUCAACCAAGAUGGGUUCACAUCUACCAUUCUCAACCAUCUCAAAAGCUUCUCUUCUCAGCACUGCAGAACACUGUAACUCCUAUUGUUUAGUAUCAGUCCUAAAAACUUGUUUGAAUCUUCCAAAUAGAGAUUACGUUCAGGAUUGUUGCAGAAAAUAUUGUUAACCCAAGCUUUGCUGAUAUGC